CCUACGGGUGGCAGCAGUGAGGAAUAUUUUUCAAUUUUCUCGCUCCUGCCCCCGCCCCGUCGCGUGAAGGAUGACGGCCCUACGGGUUGUAAACUUCUUUUGUCAGGGAGCAAUUGAGUCCACGUGUGGGCUUAGCGAGAGUACCUGAAGAAAAAGCAUCGGCUAACUCCGUGCCAGCAGCCGCGGUAAUACGGAGGAUGCGAGCGUUAUCCGGAUUUAUUGGGUUUAAAGGGUGCGUAGGCGGAAGGUUAAGUCAGCGGUCAAAUGUCGGUGCUCAACACCGGCCUGCCGUUGAAACUGGUCUUCUUGAGUGAGCGAGAAGUAUGCGGAAUGCGUGGUGUAGCGGUGAAAUGCAUAGAUAUCACGCAGAACUCCGAUUGCGAAGGCAGCAUACCGGCGCUCAACUGACGCUGAGGCACGAAAGCGUGGGGAUCGAACAGGAUUAGAUACCCGGGUAGUC
RNAcentral lists this ribosomal RNA (460 nucleotides) under uncultured bacterium. RNAcentral's name for it is "partial 16S ribosomal RNA". It matches the Rfam family "Bacterial small subunit ribosomal RNA", at positions 338 to 795 of the family's 1533-position model. The record is from RNAcentral.